This 1372-nucleotide ribosomal RNA is filed under the name uncultured bacterium. RNAcentral describes it as "bacterial SSU rRNA". It matches the Rfam family "Bacterial small subunit ribosomal RNA", at positions 28 to 1381 of the family's 1533-position model. The record is from RNAcentral.
GAUGAACGCUGGCGGCGUGCCUAAUACAUGCAAGUCGAGCGAACGGACGAGAAGCUUGCUUCUCUGAUGUUAGCGGCGGACGGGUGAGUAACACGUGGAUAACCUACCUAUAAGACUGGGAUAACUUCGGGAAACCGGAGCUAAUACCGGAUAAUAUUUUGAACCGCAUGGUUCAAAAGUGAAAGACGGUCUUGCUGUCACUUAUAGAUGGAUCCGCGCUGCAUUAGCUAGUUGGUAAGGUAACGGCUUACCAAGGCAACGAUGCAUAGCCGACCUGAGAGGGUGAUCGGCCACACUGGAACUGAGACACGGUCCAGACUCCUACGGGAGGCAGCAGUAGGGAAUCUUCCGCAAUGGGCGAAAGCCUGACGGAGCAACGCCGCGUGAGUGAUGAAGGUCUUCGGAUCGUAAAACUCUGUUAUUAGGGAAGAACAUAUGUGUAAGUAACUGUGCACAUCUUGACGGUACCUAAUCAGAAAGCCACGGCUAACUACGUGCCAGCAGCCGCGGUAAUACGUAGGUGGCAAGCGUUAUCCGGAAUUAUUGGGCGUAAAGCGCGCGUAGGCGGUUUUUUAAGUCUGAUGUGAAAGCCCGCGGCUCAACCGUGGAGGGUCAUUGGAAACUGGAAAACUUGAGUGCAGAAGAGGAAAGUGGAAUUCCAUGUGUAGCGGUGAAAUGCGCAGAGAUAUGGAGGAACACCAGUGGCGAAGGCGACUUUCUGGUCUGUAACUGACGCUGAUGUGCGAAAGCGUGGGGAUCAAACAGGAUUAGAUACCCUGGUAGUCCACGCCGUAAACGAUGAGUGCUAAGUGUUAGGGGGUUUCCGCCCCUUAGUGCUGCAGCUAACGCAUUAAGCACUCCGCCUGGGGAGUACGACCGCAAGGUUGAAACUCAAAGGAAUUGACGGGGACCCGCACAAGCGGUGGAGCAUGUGGUUUAAUUCGAAGCAACGCGAAGAACCUUACCAAAUCUUGACAUCCUUUGACAACUCUAGAGAUAGAGCUUUCCCCUUCGGGGGACUAAGCGACAGGUGGUGCAUGGUUGUCGUCAGCUCGUGUCGUGAGAUGUUGGGUUAAGUCCCGCAACGAGCGCAACCCUUAAGCUUAGUUGCCAUCAUUAAGUUGGGCACUCUAAGUUGACUGCCGGUGACAAACCGGAGGAAGGUGGGGAUGACGUCAAAUCAUCAUGCCCCUUAUGAUUUGGGCUACACACGUGCUACAAUGGACAAUACAAAGGGCAGCGAAACCGUGAGGUCAAGCAAAUCCCAUAAAGUUGUUCUCAGUUCGGAUUGUAGUCUGCAACUCGACUACAUGAAGCUGGAAUCGCUAGUAAUCGUAGAUCAGCAUGCUACGGUGAAUACGUUCCCGGGUCU